Molecule: long non-coding RNA, 2202 nt
Filed under: Sus scrofa (pig)
Lineage: Eukaryota; Metazoa; Chordata; Mammalia; Artiodactyla; Suidae
Description: lncRNA (ENSSSCG00035005198.1)
Source: RNAcentral
CAGUAUUUCCACAGGGAACUGCCGACCUCUCCAUGCUCUCUUUGCUCUUCUGGUCCUAAGGACACUUUAGCAAAGUUAAUAUCGGAGACUCCCAACUUUUACAGCUCAUCCAUUAAGUUCCAAAACAGAAAAGAGAGAUACUUAACUGGGGGAAAGCCAGAUGUUGAACUCUCCACCGAUUCCAAAAACAUCAAGCAACUUGAAAGAUGGAUAGCUCUUCAGCUCUAGUUUCUGACUUUCCAUUUGGCAUUGGUCCUUGAACAUGACAACAUAAUGAUGUUCUCAAUUCGGUGAUUUUCAAAUAUUUUAAUCCUAAUUAAAGCAUAAAGAAAAAGUUGCGUUAGCUGAGCUCGAAUGCCCGCCAAGUGUGAGAAAACUGUAUCUCAGCUGUAUGUACUGUUACACAGUGUUCUUGGAACUUCUCAUAUGUCAUUCUGUCUGUUCAUGUGCAAUCUGAUAACUAACUACAAUUAGCAAAUGAAAUAUUUAUAUAUGCUACCACGUAGUCAGUCCAUAUGUGCAAAAUAUUGCAAGAUCCUCAAGUAGCAUUUAGCAUCACCCACUGUUAUGUUAGUUUCCUGAAAUAGGAAACUAUGCUGUCUUAUGCAGUCUUAUGAAGUAUGCCCCCCGAGGAUGCAAUUUCCUUGCUUUGCGUGUUUGUGGUAGAGCUCAAGUCAUCCUCCAGUGAGGUGACUGGUUUGUCCUCUCACAAAAUUCAGCACCACCAGCCCAGAGUUCUCUUUCCUUUUUCUCCGUGUUACUCUUGUGCUUCACCUACAAGCUACACCAUGUCCCAAAGAGUAGUGUUCAUCCACGUGGGAUGAACACUAGCCAGUUACUACUUUAUUUAUAAAAAUUCCAGUCAUUGUCCGAGCACAACUGACUGACAGCACACACUGAGAACUUCGUAAAGGACUUUUAAACCUUCCACAGACACACAGUUUUUAACCAGCAUGUGAACAAUAUGAGAAGCUUGUUGACUUCUGAAAAAAUUGCCUGGAACUGAAAAUCCAUAAGUGGAAGGAAAGCAAGCCUCUGAUUCACUUGACUUAAAUCAAGGGACAUCCAACAGUUGAAGGAACGUGGGGCAGCUGCCCUCACUGAAAUAUCGGUAUGUGCACCCUCACCCUUCCUGAGGCUGAUCAUCUUACAACGAGUAAAGGGGGAAAGGAAGCCAGUCUCCACCUGCAAGCCGAGGUUUGCAUGUAACCUUAUUUCACAGAAAAUUUAAUUUCAAGUCAAUUAAAUCUGAAUAUGAGAGAGAGAAAAAAGAGGGGGCAGAGAAGAGAGAACUUGGGGGUUUGGGAUAGAAAAGCUAUAAAAUUGGAUUGUGAUGAUCAUUGUACAACUAAAAAAAAAAAGCAUGACAAUGUGAGAAAAAAGAAUAUAUACAAGUGUGUGUAACUGGGUCACCUUGCUGUACAGUAGAAAAUUGACAGAACACAGUAAACCAGCUAUAAUGGAAAAAAAUAAAAAUCAUUAUAUAAAGAAAAAAAAAGAGAGAGGACGUGAAGAAGAAUGUGAGGCUGGGUUCUGGUACUUGCGCUAUGGAACUAAUGAUGCAGAUGAUCCAAAUUGCUCAAGUAUGAUGAUAGAGAAGGGUCCUGUUUAUUAGACCAGUGUAGGCAAGAAAGUCUCUAACCAAAAACAGCUAACGUCUAGUUCCAGGGGGAAAUGGAUGCUAUUAAUCUAUGACCUCUCUCUCUUCUUUUAUUUUUAUUAGAAUAUAAACCUUGUUAAUAAUGCAAAGUCUUUUGAAAUGUACAAUUCCAUAGCUCUUAAGAACAACCUUGAAAAGAAGGUACUUGAUGCUGCACUAAAGGCGUGUGUCACUGGGGUUUGAAGCUGGGAAGGAAUGCAUUCUCUCCUGUCUUUUUAUAUUGUGAUAGAUUUGUGGCAGGGUGGUUUAAGAGGCUCCUGCUGUCUCAAACUGUUUCCUUCAAGCACUGACCAUGAACUGGCUCACAGAUGAUUUGGACACUUAACAUUUUCAAGGACAAAAAUUUCUCCCAGUGUGGUAGAGAGAGAAAGGAAGGAAGGAUAGAUGAUCACUCUGCUUUAUUCCUAGCAAGCCCAACUUAGACAGGAGAAAGGAUUUUUAAAAAAAUGGAGAUUCCAACAUGGAGUUUGCAGUGCCUAAUUGUAUGCUGUAAAAAUUAAUGGCAUAAAUGCUUACCAAGGAAUAAAAAUAUGCAGUGCUAU